CGCCAGACUCCUACGGGAGGCAGCAGUGGGGAAUAUUGCACACUGGGGGAAACCCUGAUGCAGCGACGCCGCGUGAGUGAAGAAGUAUUUCGGUAUGUAAAGCUCUAUCAGCAGGGAAGAAAAUGACGGUACCUGACUAAGAAGCCCCGGCUAACUACGUGCCAGCAGCCGCGGUAAUACGUAGGGGGCAAGCGUUAUCCGGAUUUACUGGGUGUAAAGGGAGCGUAGACGGCAUGGCAAGUCAGAUGUGAAAGCCCGGGGCUCAACCCCGGGACUGCAUUUGAAACUGUCAGGCUGGAGUGCAGGAGAGGUAAGUGGAAUUCCUAGUGUAGCGGUGAAAUGCGUAGAUAUUAGGAGGAACACCAGUGGCGAAGGCGGCUUACUGGACUGUAACUGACGUUGAGGCUCGAAAGCGUGGGGAGCAAACAGGAUUAGAUACCCUGGUAG
This 447-nucleotide ribosomal RNA is filed under the name uncultured bacterium. Its description in RNAcentral is "bacterial SSU rRNA". It matches the Rfam family "Bacterial small subunit ribosomal RNA", at positions 329 to 793 of the family's 1533-position model. The record is from RNAcentral.